CUAAAUAUGAUAAACAGAAUGGCAUGUCUAAUGCUCUGCAAGCCAAACUGCUGCACUGUCUUCUCUUGUGACUUUAUCUCUUUUGUUGGAUCUGUAGGAUGAGAAGCCAAAUGACAAGGCAGGCCCACGAAGAACUUUGCUUAAGGCAGACAAGCAGUUGCCAAAACCAACCUCUGGGAGGUCUGAGAAGAAAUGAUCAAAACGUUGCUGUGUGAUUGCAUCCACUCUGCCAGAAUCUGCAGUUCGUCUACCAUACUUUCAAUUCUGAAGUGCUACCAACAAAAGAACAAAGAAUUGCAGUUCAUAAGAACACUGUUUCAUACCCCUAUACAGAAGAACAAAGAAGUAUAUACAAAGAAAACUGUGCCGUACCCUCAACUCCAGCAGGCCUGACUGAGGUGUGCCGAAGUCCCAGCAGGCUGCGAGAAGUGGUUACGGAGCCCCCAGCAGAAAACCGUAUUUGGGCCCUGAGACCAAAGCAGUCCAUCAAAGGCUUCCUAUAUGUUUUGGUCUGCAUUUACGGUUGGAGGCGUUUCAUGCUUUCCGUGUUGGAUAGAGACGACCAGAUAUCUAGAAAAUGAAGAGCCAAAGAUGUGGUAUAUUGCACCUGCUCCAGCUAUUACUGAAAUUCCAGCUGCAGAGGAGUUACAGAAGGAACUGGAAAAAAACACAGUCUACAGUCAUAUGGGAGAGAGACAGCAUCAGAAGUUUAUACAGCCGUGCAAGAGAAAUACUGAGGAAGUAAAUGAGAAGUCACGAGCACCUGUUCAUUUUGGGAUAGCUUCUAAAAAAGAAGAGCUCCAGUUAGGUUUAGGAGAAAAGGAUAAAACUAAUUUUCAGUGUGAAAGUCUGAAAAUGGUUUCAUCAUUUCUCUCAUCUGACCAAGAUAAAUAUAAAACAGGAAUUGGGGCUUGUCAACAACCUGGUGCAAAUAUGUCACAAAACAAAAUAUUAAUUAAUCUUCCAGACAACAGUGAUGAUGAAAGUAUCCAUUCAACAUUAAGAAAAAGAUUAUUUAAAAUAUCUGAAUUUGAAGAUAGUUCCAUUGAUAUGAAAGAAAUUGGUACUUUUUUGAAAACGAGUGAAAACAUGGAAGAGGUUAAAAAAGAAGACUUACAGAGACAUAAUCAUCGUAUUCCAAUAAUUAAAGACUCAGAUUUUACCCUACAUAGGGUAAAUGAUGGGGGCUUUGCUCCUAAAAAUGGAAUUAAGAUAAAAUUAUUUUCUAAUGCUUCAAAGAUUCUGGAUAUGAAAGGUAAUUAG
Molecule: long non-coding RNA, 1263 nt
Filed under: Struthio camelus australis
Lineage: Eukaryota; Metazoa; Chordata; Aves; Struthioniformes; Struthionidae
Description: lncRNA (ENSSCUG00000015835.1)
Source: RNAcentral